UACGGGAGGCAGCAGUGGGGAAUAUUGCGCAAUGGGCGAAAGCCUGACGCAGCAACGCCGCGUGCGGGAUGACGGCCUUCGGGUUGUAAACCGCUUUCAGCAGGGAAGAAGCCGCAAGGUGACGGUACCUGCAGAAGAAGCACCGGCUAACUACGUGCCAGCAGCCGCGGUAAUACGUAGGGUGCAAGCGUUGUCCGGAUUUAUUGGGCGUAAAGAGCUCGUAGGCGGUCUGUUACGUCGGUUGUGAAAACUCGGGGCUUAACCCCGAGCCUGCAUCCGAUACGGGCAGACUUGAGUGUGGUAGGGGAGACUGGAAUUCCUGGUGUAGCGGUGAAAUGCGCAGAUAUCAGGAGGAACACCGAUGGCGAAGGCAGGUCUCUGGGCCACAACUGACGCUGAGGAGCGAAAGCGUGGGGAGCAAACAGGAUUAGAUACCCUGGUAGUCCACGCCGUAAACGGUGGGCGCUAGGUGUGGGGAACAUUCCACGUUCUCCGUGCCGCAGCUAACGCAUAAGCGCCCCGCC
Molecule: ribosomal RNA, 524 nt
Filed under: uncultured Actinomycetes bacterium
Lineage: Bacteria; Bacillati; Actinomycetota; Actinomycetes
Description: bacterial SSU rRNA
Rfam family: Bacterial small subunit ribosomal RNA
Source: RNAcentral